ACGUCAUUUAGCAACCCAUCAACCUGCCUCUAGCAACUUUACCAAAAAAAGUAUAGGUCGUAUUUUGGCUGACUGUGUUUUGAUCCACCGGAAACUUUGAAGAUUGCUCAUUAUUUAGCUUUUCUAAGGACACAGAAAACGAAUGCAGUGGGGAAGUCGGAGGAGGUUGCCUGGGCUUGCUAGCACUUCAUGAACUCUUCAUUUGGUUGUGCUGCGCUGCCUACGUUGAAAUUGAAAUGAUUUAUCGGAUGCGAGCGGCAGUCAGACGGUCUCGCAAAGGAUUGGUGCUCUGUCUGUUCCUGGCACUCCAUUUGGCUGUCUCCAAGGCGGAUAAUAGAGUUCUUCUUGUUGGUUCAACGGACCCUGUUCGUGGCAUAGUUGGCGGGGAUGUCAUCUUGCCUUGUUUCCUGAGACCUACCACGAGUGCUGUUGAAGAGUCCGUAGAGUGGCAGAGACCAGUCCUAGAGCCAAAAGAGGUGCAUUUGUACCGAGACCGUAGUGAUGACAAUGUGAUCCAGUAUCCAUCCUACAGUGGUAGGACAUCACUGUUCAGGGAAGAACUGAAGAACGGCAACGUCUCACUAAAGCUGACCAAUGUGAAACUCUCCGAUGCUGGAAAUUACACCUGUUACAUACCAACGUUAGGCCACCAGAAAACCACCAUUGAACUCUAUGUCGGCGAGGAUGGGACUCCUUCAUCCUCCUUCCAACCCACCCAACCGCCCCUGAAAGACCAAUCGGGGAAAGUCAGGGGUGCAGCCCCUCGGCCAUGGCUCUCCAUUGUGAGAACCAAAGACAAGGAAGUGGUCCUGAAGUGUGUGGCUGAAGGGUUAGUCUAUAAGCCUGAGUUGGUGUUGCUGAACAGUAAGGGAACCAUCCUCCCUGCUGAUGAACCUACAGAGAGACCCAUGGAUUCCGAGGGCUUGUACACAGUGACACGCUAUUUCACUGUCCAGAAGACUGCCACCAAUGUGUUCACCUGUCAAGUUCAACAGCUGGAGAUCAAACACAUGAGGGAGACACAGAUUCAUGUUCCAGACAAAAUGUUUCAUGAGGAAGCAGAAGACUUGGGAUGGAAAAUUGGAUUUGGAAUUGGAUGUGUUGUAGGGGGUGUUGUGGUGGGUGUUAUAGUUUUUCUGUUCAUGCGGAAAAACAACCCCAACAACGCCCUAAAACAGCACCCAGAAGAAAAAGAGAGAAACCAAUGACGGGUGUGCAGAUAGCGGGAAUCCCCUCCUCGAGGGACAGCAAUAAUGGUGUGCAUCCUAAUGGUGUGCGUGUGUCACAACCUGGAGAACGGGACAGCCAACAUACAUUUGAUUGUUUCCACAUUUUUUGCCUAAUAGAGUUUACCCAGGAUCGGAUCCACUCUUUGCGUCCGUGGACUACACCUCUCCGUUCUUCGUGGCCUUUUUCCGCUGGAGAUCUAUUGGCGGAUUGGAUUGUCUGACUGACCGACUGACUACCACCUUUUUGUAUACGUAUCCUCGACUUCGGCGAUGUCAUCUACAAAAUGGCUUCCAACACUACUCAGCAAACUGAUAGACGCUGUCUAUCACAGUGCCAUCCGUUUUGUCACUAAAGCACCUUAUACCACCCACCACUGCGACUUGUAUGCUCUAGUCGGCUGGCCCUCGCUACAUAUUCGUCGCCAGACCCACUGGCUCCAGGUCAUCUACAAGUCCAUGCUAGGUAAAGCUCCGCCUUAUCUCAGUUCACUGGUCACGAUGGCAACACCCAUCCGUAGCACGCGCUCCAGCAGGUGUAUCUCACUGAUCAUCCCUAAAGCCAACACCUCAUUUGGCCGCCUUUCGUUCCAGUACUCUGCUGCCUGUGACUGGAACGAAUUGCAAAAAUCGCUGAAGUUGGAGACUUUUAUCUCCCUCACCAACUUCAAACAUCAGCUAUCUGAGCAGCUAACCGAUCGCUGCAGCUGUACAUAGUCUAUCGGUAAAUAGCCCACCCAUUUUUCACCUACCUCAUCCCCAUACUGUUUUUAUUUAUUUACUUUUCUGCUCUUUUGCACACCAAUAUCUCUACCUGUACAUGACCAUCUGAUCAUUUAUCACUCCAGUGUUAAUCUGCAAAAUUGUAAUUAUUUGCCUACCUCCUCAUGCCUUUUGCACACAUUGUAUAUAGACUCCCCCUUUUUUUUCUACUGUGUUAUUGACUUGUUAAUUGUUUACUCCAUGUGUAACUUUGUUGUCUGUUCACACUGCUAUGCUUUAUCUUGGCCAGGUCGCAGUUGCAAAUGAGAACUUGUUCUCAACUAGCCUACCUGGUUAAAUAAAGAACAGCCUCAAUUUGUCGGGGCAUGGACUCCGCAAGACGUCAGCAGCAUCCUACAGGGAUGCUGGCCCGUGUUGACUCCAAUGCUUCCCACAGUUGUGUCAAGUUGGCUGCAUGUCCUUUGGGUGCUGGACAAUUUUUGAUACACACAGGAAACUGUUGAGCGUGAAACUCAAUAGCGUUGCACUUCUUGACACACUCAAACGCAAACCGGUGUGCCUGGCACCUACUACCAUACCCCCAUUCAAAGGCACUUCAAUCUUUUGUCUUGGCCAUUCACCCUCUGAAUGGCCGGACAUACACCAUCCAUAUCUCAUGUUUUAAAAAUCCUUUAAACGGUCUCCUCCCCUUCAUCUACACUGAUUGAAGUGGAUGUAACAAGUGACAUCAACAGCAGAUCAUAGCUUUCACCUGGCCAGUCGCUCAUGGAAAGUGCAGGUGUUCCUAAAGUUUUGUACACUCAAAUGUAUUUGUGUGUAUGUAUGCAUUGGGCUUCAUGGAUUGUUUAUUUGUAUGUGUUGGGCUUUAGCUGAGAUUAUUCUUUCAAGUCCUGAAUGCUGAUUGGCUGACAGCCGUGUUAAAUCCGACUGUAUACCACACGCAGGACAAAACAUGUAUUUUUACUGCUCCAAUUACAUUGGUAACCACUUUAUAAUAGCAAUAAGGCACCUCAGGGGUUUGUGAGAUAUGGCCAAUACCAAUGCUAUAAACAUUACCCGGAAACUCUUAUUUUUAUGUAUCUUGGAAUGUUCUCAAACCAUUACUGUCCAUGAUAUCGGCAAGCAUACGGAUUUCACAUUUGAACCAUUGGGGGAGGGUGCAAAAGGCCGACCUCCAGAUUUCAAGGAAUUAAUGUGAAAAUAUUGGGAGUAUGUGCAUGCUAUUUUGAUUCCCAGUUACAUUGUUUUUCCAUUUUGCGCCAAAUAGAAAUUGUGCGAGCAAUGAUGGGACCAAAGCAUAGUUUACAUUGUUUAAAGAAUUUAUCAGUGACUCAAGACCACCUCUGCCAUGGAAAUGUGAGACACCAUAUUUCUCUUUAUACUCAGCCAGAGGGCAGAAGAAUCAUGUCUAAACCGAUUUAGGAUAGGGAAAAUGCUAGAGCCUGGAAAUACAACUGAAAGUUUGGUACGGAUAGUCCUAAAUAUUCCCCUCUUUGUAAGUGUAAGUUUAUCUGGAGUCGUUAACCUUGCCAUAUACAUUUUGAAAGUGUAUCCCAACAGUCACAAGGGGGAGCCAUGGGAAGCAUUGAACUACAGAAAGUCUGUGACAAUAUAUUCAUUUUGACAAUAGAUAUUCUGCUGGUUAUAGCAACUGGGAUAGUAAAAUGGCAAAGGCGAAAUUGGAUCGCCUUGUCUGCUGCUUCUAGUGAUAUUGACAUAACAUUUGAAUCAUAUUAAUGAAAUGGGAGCCAAUUACCAUAUGUUCCAAGACCAGAGAUACUGUAUGCCCAUUCUAGUCUAUCAAAAGCUUUUUCUGCAUCAAGAGAUAAUACAGCCCAAGGCACUGUUGUUUUUAACAAAGCGUUUAAGAUAUGUAAUAGUAAACAUUUUUUAACAAACCCGCUUUGGUCCGUGUGGAACAAUUUGGUAAAUUAUAAUUAAAUUAAGUAAAUCUCGAGAAGGGACGACAACAUUUAGGAAAAUAAUGUAUCUGUGUUUAUCAAAGGUAAGGGGCUAUAGUGAGAAUACUGGGUGGCAUAGUUACCUUACUUAAUAUAUAAAAAAUAAAAAGCAAAAUUAGUACUAUAUUCACAUCUCUCCCAAAUCAACCUUUGUGAAUGGCCUUGUUAAUCAUUGAGCAAUAGUGGACCUAAUUGAUUACAAAAUGUUAAAUAGACCUCAGGAGGAAUACCAGCCCAUUCAGGUGAUUUGUCUUUAUUUACACUACCCAUUGUCCUUUUGAGUUCAUUGAGAGAGAUUUGGGCUCCCAGUGAGGUGGCUUAUGUUGAGAGAAGAGGAGUUUCUUAAUUAUUUUAGACCGGCUUGGUGUGGAUUUACAAUCAGAGGAGUACAAUUCUUUAUAGAAGCAUGAGAAUCUUUGAUUAAUUUGGGUUCUGAUAGUAAUUCCCCUGUUUCAGACUCAAUAGUUGCUAUAUCAGCUAAUGAUCAUUGCUGCAUAGCUUGUUGGCCAGUAAACGACUAGGACAAUUACCAUGGAAUGUUGAGUCUAACUCUGUCUUAUCAAUAAAUUUAAGUUCUGCCUUGACCUUGGACAGACUAACAGCUA
This is an RNA transcript of Oncorhynchus kisutch (coho salmon), 4515 nucleotides long. It is a transcript of the gene named butyrophilin subfamily 1 member A1, with no coding region annotated. The record is from RefSeq and is a predicted model, not a curated record. NCBI's taxonomy places the organism in Eukaryota, Metazoa, Chordata, Actinopteri, Salmoniformes, Salmonidae. The transcript has 10 exons.